CUCGCCGUCGGUCACUCAUCGUAGCUCACCCUCUCCUCGGCUCCCAUCGACGUUCAGGAUGGUUUAUAAUUUCUGACUUCAAAUUUGGCUCGUAGGCAAUUCAAGACUCGAGAACAUAAGAUACAGAUAAUAAGGCUUCAGAAUAUGAAUUGAUAUACUCAAUUUGCUUGGAGCAAGUUAACUAGGAGACCUUGUUUGAAGCUUGCUAUGUUUGCAUCAGUUUUCAGGGGCACAAGGAAUGGAUCGAUGAAAUGAACUUGUUGCAUGUAGUCAAGCACCAAAAUCUUGUCAAGUUAGUGGGAUACUGUGCAGAAGAUGAUGAAAGAGGGAUUCAGCGGCUUUUGGUGUAUGAGCUCAUGCGUAACAAAAGCUUAGAGGACCAUCUGUUGGCUCGGGUAGCGUCUCCUCUGCCAUGGAUGGCAAGAUUAAAAAUUGCUCAAGAUGCAGCUCGUGGUUUGACUUAUCUGCAUGGAGAAAUGGACUUUGGAGACUAAAAAUUUGUAUGAUGAAUUAUUAUUAAAUUUGUAUGAUGGAUUUAUUUUGAUUUAUAAUAUAAAUUGGUUACUGAAUUGUUUUGUAGAGUGAUGUAUAAUAGCUAGUGGAUUUGUUAGUAUAUUUGAAGGCUAUUGAGAUAUGAGCAGGAUAU
Molecule: non-coding RNA, 646 nt
Organism: Camellia sinensis
Lineage: Eukaryota; Viridiplantae; Streptophyta; Magnoliopsida; Ericales; Theaceae
Source: RefSeq, a predicted model, not a curated record